GCUCACCAAGGCGACGACGGGUAGCUGGUCUGAGAGGACGAUCAGCCACACUGGGACUGAGACACGGCCCAGACUCCUACGGGAGGCAGCAGUGGGGAAUCUUGCGCAAUGGGCGAAAGCCUGACGCAGCAACGCCGCGUGGGGGAUGAAGGCCUUCGGGUUGUAAACCCCUUUCAGUGGGAACGAAAUUGACGGUACCCACAGAAGAAGCCCCGGCCAACUACGUGCCAGCAGCCGCGGUGAUACGUAGGGGGCGAGCGUUGUCCGGAUUUAUUGGGCGUAAAGAGCUCGUAGGCGGCUUGGUAAGUCGGGUGUGAAACCUCCAGGCUCAACCUGGAGACGCCACUCGAUACUGCCCUGGCUAGAGUCCGGUAGGGGAUCACGGAAUUCCUGGUGUAGCGGUGAAAUGCGCAGAUAUCAGGAGGAACACCAGUGGCGAAGGCGGUGAUCUGGGCCGGUACUGACGCUGAGGAGCGAAAGCGUGGGGAGCGAACAGGAUUAGAUACCCUGGUAGUCCACGCCGUAAACGUUGGGCACUAGGUGUGGGGCCUUAUCGACGGGUUCCGUGCCGCAGCUAACGCA
This 582-nucleotide ribosomal RNA is filed under the name uncultured bacterium. RNAcentral describes it as "bacterial SSU rRNA". It matches the Rfam family "Bacterial small subunit ribosomal RNA", at positions 263 to 859 of the family's 1533-position model. The record is from RNAcentral.